Molecule: ribosomal RNA, 398 nt
Filed under: uncultured bacterium
Lineage: Bacteria
Description: partial 16S ribosomal RNA
Rfam family: Bacterial small subunit ribosomal RNA
Source: RNAcentral
AUACGUAGGGUGCGAGCGUUGUCCGGAAUUACUGGGCGUAAAGAGCUCGUAGGUGGUUUGUCGCGUCGUCUGUGAAAUUCCGGGGCUUAACUCCGGGCGUGCAGGCGAUACGGGCAUAACUUGAGUACUGUAGGGGAGACUGGAAUUCCUGGUGUAGCGGUGAAAUGCGCAGAUAUCAGGAGGAACACCGGUGGCGAAGGCGGGUCUCUGGGCAGUAACUGACGCGGAGGAGCGAAAGCAUGGGUAGCGAACAGGAUUAGAUACCCUGGUAGUCCAUGCCGUAAACGGUGGGCGCUAGGUGUAGGGGUCUUCCACGACUUCUGUGCCGUAGCUAACGCAUUAAGCGCCCCGCCUGGGGAGUACGGCCGCAAGGCUAAAACUCAAAUGAAUUGACGGGG